This 484-nucleotide ribosomal RNA is filed under the name uncultured bacterium. RNAcentral's name for it is "partial 16S ribosomal RNA". It matches the Rfam family "Bacterial small subunit ribosomal RNA", at positions 28 to 507 of the family's 1533-position model. The record is from RNAcentral.
AUUGAACGCUGGCGGCAUGCUUUACACAUGCAAGUCGAACGGCAGCGCGGGCUUCGGCCUGGCGGCGAGUGGCGAACGGUUGAGUAAUGCAUCGGAACGUGCCCAGUAGUGGGGGAUAGCCCGGCGAAAGCCGGAUUAAUACUGCAUACGAACUGAGGGUGACAGCGGGGGACCGCAAGGCCUCUCGCCUUUGGAGCGGCCGAUGUCGGAUUCACUAGUUGGUGGGGUAACGGCUUACCAAGGCGGCGAUGCCUAGCUGGUCUGAAAGGACGACCAGCCACACUGGGAGUGAGGCACGGCACAGACUCCGACGGGAGGCAGCAGUGGGGAAUUUUGGACGAUGGAGGCAAGCCUGAUCCAGCCAUGCCGCGGGCAGGAAGAAGGCCUUAGGGUUGGAGACCGCUUUUGGUCGGAAAGAAAUCCUCUGGGCUAAUACCCCGGGGGGAUGACGGUACCGGAAGAAUAAGCACCGGCUAACUACGUG